UUGCGCUGUGUCAGAACUUUGGUUCAACCAGAGGCGUUGCAAAAAGUUAAUGUGCAGAAGAAACGUCGAGAGUUUUGAUGCGGCCGGCAUCCAUGCCGCUAAAGAGGAGCUUCAAGCUAAGCAUUGUAAUCGGUACAGGAGUACCUACCAAGGUACUGGCUUUUCGGAGUUCGCUGACAGGCACAGCAAUGGGUGGAUUGUUGGAGAAGGGAUGACGGGGCAUGGCUUUAUUGCCGCCAUUAAGGCACGAACGUCGCUGCUCCCCACGCGUAUGCUGACCCUUCGCGGUCGAGCUGAACCGGGAGACCAGCGCGUUCUAUGCCGACGAUGCGGCAGUAUUAGCGGAGCCACCGAAUCCCUAAUCCACAUCUCCCAGCGCUGUGCCUCCAGUCACGGCUUAAUGAUCAGAAGACAUGACCAUUGUCCGAAAGUUAGCCUCGCUAGCUGAGGCAGAAGGGUUCCAAUGCGUUAUUGAACCAAUUCUCAGGCAAGAUGACAUAACGCUAAAGCCUGAUCUGAUUUUAUCCAAGAAUUCAAAGACAUGGACACUUGAUGUGGCCAUACCUUGGGAAGGUAAUGAGCCCCUAAACAAAAGGCAUGCAGAAAAAUGUCGCAAAUACGCGAACCUUAGCGUGGCCGUUGAACGAUUCACAGGGACAAAGGAAUUUGAAUCGGAAGCGAUAGUUAUUGGCGCACGAGGCGCUCGGUGUGAACAAAAUGAGAAGACGCUCACAAAGAUGGAGUUCCCAAUCUCUGAUAAAAUGAAAGAGUUGUUGUGCCUAAUGACUCUCGAGGGCACCUGCCAAAUAAUUAGCUGGUUUAUGCGCAGCACAGAAUCGCUCGCAUUUCGCGGCUGUUCUGUGAGGCCAGCUGGUCUAAUGGGCAGGCCCAUGGAGUCCGAACGCACGCACUCUCGAAGGAAUAAAUCCUGAUUUGGAAUGCCACAGGGCUGGCCACCCAUGACUACGUGGUAACAGCCAAGGCGUCCACCGAACAAGACAGUGCCAGUUCACUCACCAAUGGGCCCGACUCGACCUAUGACGACAUAAUUGAGCAGCACCUAAACGCACUUAUGUGUUUAUGUUAUUGCUCUUGUUGGACGAACACUUGUUCGUUGAUUUUGUCAUUGAUGCGUCCCUUUCGUUUCCUUACUUAUCUUAUUUUGGCCUCGCAGUGCCACCAAGAUUUGAUUUAUUUUACUGCAAAUAAACUUCAAGUAGCCAAAUGCCUCGUCAUCUAAUUAGGCACGCGCAUAAAUGGAUCAACAAGAUUCCUACUGUCCCUAUCUACUGUUUAGCGAAACAACAGCCAAGGGAACGGGCUUCGCAAAAUCAGCGCGGAAAGAAGACCAUGUUGAGCUUGACUCUAGUCUGACUCUGUGAAGAGACAUUGAAGCUGUAGCACAGGUGGGAGGCCCGUGGCCGCUUGCGGUGCCGCGCCGACAGUCAAAUACCACUACUUCGAUCGUUUCGUUACUUAUUCGGUCAAGCGGAAGGAACGGUCGCUCGCGUGGCCGUCUCAUGGCCCGCGACGACUGCCACUUUUGGUGCAAAGCCGACGGGACGCGUGCCCCGCUGUCGGCGGCACAUCGAGCACCCGUAGCAACGCGAGGUGCCGUCCAGGGCGAUCCGCUCCGAAGACAGUGUCAGGCGGGGAGUUUGACUGGGGCGGUACAUCUGUUAAACGGUAACGCAGGUGUCCCAAGGUGAGCUCAGCGAGGACAGAAACCUCGCCUGGAGUAAACGGGCAAAAGCUCACUUGAUUUUGAUUUCCAGUACGAAUAGAGACCGCGAAAGCGUGGCCUAUCGAUCCUUUUGAUUUUGCGGAUUUCAUGUAAGAGGUGUCAGAAAAGUUACCACAGGGAUAAUUGGCUUCUGGCAGCCAAGCGCCCAUAGCGACGUUGCUUUUUGAUCCUUCGAUGUCGGCUCUUCCUAUGAUUGCGAAGCAGAAUUCGCCAAGCGUUGGAUUGUUCACCCACCAAUAGGGAACGUGAGCUGGGCUUAGACCGUCGUGAGACAGGUAAGUUUUGCCCUACUGAUCACUGAUCGUUGCUAUAGUAAUCCUGCUCAGUACGAGAGGAACCGCAGGAUCAGACAUUUGGUUCAUGCGCUUGGCUGAAAGGCCAGUGGCGCGAAGCUACCAUCUGAAAGAUAAUGACUGAACGCCUCUAAGUCAGAAUCUUGCCUAUCGACUGGCGACGAUACGUUGCGUCCGAGUUGUUGCAAGGUUGACGGUAGACCGGCGGUCGCCUUGCGCGGUCGACCGGUCUCCACUUGAAGCCGUGCUGCCACUUGUUG
This 2297-nucleotide ribosomal RNA is filed under the name Trichuris suis (pig whipworm). RNAcentral describes it as "eukaryotic LSU rRNA". The stretch from base 1037 to 2297 matches the Rfam family "Eukaryotic large subunit ribosomal RNA", at positions 1891 to 3257 of the family's 3401-position model. Lineage: Eukaryota; Metazoa; Nematoda; Enoplea; Trichinellida; Trichuridae. The record is from RNAcentral.